AGAGAAUUUCUUCGAUGAAAUUAACAGCUCAUCAUCUGAAGAAGAACAACCUGAAGGAGACAAUGUUGCAGAGAAUGAAGCACCGGAUGAUUCAGACCAUGAAGCUCCUAAUGUCGUAUCAGUAGGACGGAAGAAGAAGAAGAGGAAAAGAGGGAAGCAGAAAAUGCUCGAUGAAUCAACACCUCCAGAUGUGUACCUAAAUCGUAUCUUUCUGUCUGCUUUGGAGCAAGAAGAUCAUGUCAUCUUGGAACAAGCGAUAGCUGAAAAUACAGACAACAAAUAUUUGCGGAAAGGCUUGAACAGCUAUAUUGACGAAGAAAAAAAUACCCUGCUUCAUUUUGCUUCCAAUAAAGGAUAUUUUCAUCAUCUUUGGGUUUUAUUAGAGGCUGGCGCUAGUCCUUGCUACAAGAAUAAAGCUUCACGCACUGCAUAUGAUGUUUCGCUGAAUAAAGAUACCCGAGACACUUUUCGGCGAUUUUAUGCAGAAUUUCCUGAAAAUUUGAUUAUACAAAUGUAAGUACUCCUUUCUUCAUAUGAUUAAAGUAGUUUUACUUAGUUGUGUCUAUGGCCAUCUAAAUUCGAAUAACAUUAUGAUGAAAGGAAAACUAAAUUGUUAUCAAAGUCACAUCAGAUAGUUCCACAGAUUAUCAUAAAGAAAAUCUCUUUACAUACAUAUGUUUCAGUCAAG
RNAcentral lists this long non-coding RNA (688 nucleotides) under Bemisia tabaci. RNAcentral's name for it is "lncRNA ENSSSA3NGG013383". The record is from RNAcentral. Lineage: Eukaryota; Metazoa; Arthropoda; Insecta; Hemiptera; Aleyrodidae.